Molecule: ribosomal RNA, 253 nt
Filed under: uncultured bacterium
Lineage: Bacteria
Description: partial 16S ribosomal RNA
Rfam family: Bacterial small subunit ribosomal RNA
Source: RNAcentral
UACAUGGGGUGCAAACGUUGCUCGGAAUUAUUGGGCGUAAAGCGCGCGUAGGCGGUUAUCUAAGUCGGAUGUGAAAGCCCUCGGCUUAACUGAGGAAGUGCACCCGAAACUGGAUAGCUAGAGUACGAAAGAGGGUCGCGGAAUUCCCGGUGUAGAGGUGAAAUUCGUAGAUAUCGGGAGGAACACCGGUGGCGAAGGCGGCGACCUGGGUCGAGACUGACGCUGAGGCGCGAAAGCGUGGGGAGCAAACAGG